Forficula auricularia (European earwig) is the source of this 183-nucleotide non-coding RNA. NCBI's taxonomy places the organism in Eukaryota, Metazoa, Arthropoda, Insecta, Dermaptera, Forficulidae. The record is from Rfam.
AAAUCGCAUUGGGAUAGGAUGAUAGCGCACCUGGUCAUCGUCUCUCUCAGCUGCUCACUUGCUGUUCUAAGUGAUAAUACCGUUGUUUUUUUAGUGGGUAUUCUUUUACGCUUUCGUAGGAGCGAGUCCCACACUCUUGGAGCAAUCCGGGGUAGUGCCUAAACGCAUUUCUUCAACGUAAAA